Molecule: long non-coding RNA, 1117 nt
Filed under: Phascolarctos cinereus (koala)
Lineage: Eukaryota; Metazoa; Chordata; Mammalia; Diprotodontia; Phascolarctidae
Description: lncRNA (ENSPCIG00000007635.2)
Source: RNAcentral
CAGUGAUCUGGAAGCCAAACCCUGGCUCCUUGCCACCUCACACACUCCCUUCAUUGACAUCCUACUGGGUCCCCUGAAUCGGGAUCUCAACACCCCUUCUUCCUAUAUAGGAAGGGACUGGGUGCAGGGGUUGAAGAUUUGGGUCAAGAUUAGGACUAAAUGUUAGGUCUAAAUUAGGAUUUGAAGUUGGAAAUCUAGGAGAGGAUUAGAGAUUGGGCAUACUGAUUAGCAGGUUAGAAAUCUAGACUUAUUGAGGUUAGAGGUUAGGCCCAAGUCUAGAGGUAUCUGGUGGUCUGCUUGAGGUUUGAGAAUCUGGCUGAAGUUAGUUUGAAGAUUAGAGCUAGGGAUAGGUUUACAGGGUUUGGGCUAGGGUAUACAGGGCUGGGUCUAAGAGUGGAGCUGAAAUAGGAGGGAAGGAGCUUCAGACACUACCCCUCUUUCUUAGAUCUGGUUAGGGGUUAGUUUUAUUGAUAUGGUCUUGGGUGGUCUAGAGGUGUUAGGGUUAAAGCUGGAACCAGGCUGGGCAUGUUUUCUAGCCUAGCUAAAUGAGUGUCUAACUCUAUUUGCAUCAUGAUCAUAUUAAGGUUUUCACUAAGUUUAAUAGCAGGUUAACUGAAUUAGGGUUAGAGUGGAAAGAGAUAUAGUUCAGGUCACCUAAGGGGGACCACUGGACAGAGAUGGGAUGUUAGUCCUUAAGAAAAGGUGAAAACAAGCUCUGAUCUUCCAUCUCUCUUAUCCCUCCCUGUCCUGGAUCUAUCAAAUCUCCCAGAAUGAGAAGUUACAAGAGGAGAAUGAUGUCCUGAGAUCCACUGAAGAGGUACUGCUCAGGGACAAUGACAAGAUUAAAAAGAAAAUACUGAAGCUUAAGGAACGCCACGAAUCUCUGCAAGACGAUAUCUACACGCUGGAGGAACGUCUGUGUGAGUGUGUGUGUGGUUGGGAGGGAAGGCUGGGGGGCAGGAUGUUAGGGGGUGUCUCCGCCCCCCCCGUAACUCCACCUUUCCCUCCCUCCCCCAACAAAAGGUUCUUGCACCUGCCCUGAGAACCGAUCGAACCACGAACACAAAGAGAGCAAAAGGUGUGGCCGCUGGCCCCGGUCUUCAAGGAAAGGAGAGAG